UCAAUAUUUUUAUUAUUCUCUUCCUUUUUUUUUUAGGCCAGGCAGCUGGAAGAGAAGGAGAGGGAGCUGAAGAAACAUGAUGCUUACUACAAAGAGCAGCUGGCUCGGCUGGAAGAAAGGAGUGCCCAGUUCUACAAAGUCACCACUGAGCAAUACCAAAAAGCUGCUGAUGAAGUCUCAUCUCGGUUCAAGAGAUAUGAAUCCCACCCCAUCUGUGGGGAGCUGCAGGAUAAAAUCCUCCAGUGCUACCGGGAACAUGCCCAGGAGACCCUGAGCUGCUCUGCCCUGGCCAGCCAGUACCUGCACUGUGUCAAUCAUGCCAAACAGCAGAGAAUGCUUGGGAGAGGAGGAUAAAGGCAUUGUCCAAAUCAAGCACAAGACCAUCAACUAAUUUCAGCAGAAGAGUUGUUUUUUUUUCUCCCCAACAACGAUCUGGCAGCCCAUUUGCAGGGCAGCCCAAUAAAGAGAAGUGGAAGAGCCAUUUGAAGGGCAGCAUCCUCAAUCAGAGUCCUGGAUCUUUUUCCAUCCAGCUCGCCCGUCCCAGGCUGAUGUUCUGCAUUCUCAGAGCCCACUAACUGCUGAUUGAAGGAAGGGAAAGAAAAGAACCUUUCUCUGGCCUCAGAGAGGGGAAAUAUCCUUCAAAUGCUGCUGUUUCACUGUAGAAUCUCCUCUGUAGCUCCUCUCUGGCAGAGGCAGGGGAGUUUAACCCUUGCAGUGCCAGGAUGUGGCUGUUCCUCGGGAGCAGCCGCUGGUCCCGGUGCCAGAGUUCUCCUCACACUGUAGAAUGGUAAAUUGUGCUUUAACUUAUUUCCCAAAUGACCUGGCUUGAUGAAGUGUCUCUCUGCAGGCCUUCUGCUGGAAUGAUGUUUGUGAUCCAGCACUUUGGGUGCUCCAUGGCCUUUAUUUCCAUGGGAUGGUUCUGUUGUGCUCCUCGCUCGUAUCAAGUCCUGACGAGAAUGCCUCGCUCUGUACCAACAAUAAAUCUUAUUUUAUGCACAAGA
This is a non-coding RNA of Sturnus vulgaris (Common starling), 1001 nucleotides long. The record is from RefSeq and is a predicted model, not a curated record. NCBI's taxonomy places the organism in Eukaryota, Metazoa, Chordata, Aves, Passeriformes, Sturnidae.